RNAcentral lists this ribosomal RNA (363 nucleotides) under uncultured eukaryote. RNAcentral's name for it is "partial 18S ribosomal RNA". It matches the Rfam family "Eukaryotic small subunit ribosomal RNA", at positions 592 to 976 of the family's 1831-position model. The record is from RNAcentral.
CAAUAGCGUAUACUAAUGUUGUUGCAGUUAAAAAGCUCGUAGUUGAACUUCUGGUAGGAGUGUCCCGGCCUUUUUGUUUUUACAAAUUGUAUGCUGUGUGACAUCUCUGGCCAUCCUUCUUCUUUGUUUAAAGAAGAUCUUUCACUGUAAAAAAAUUAGGGUGUUCAAAGCAAAAGUUUCUUUGGAAUAUAUUAGUAUGGGAUGAUGAGAUAGGCUCUAGAUGCUAUUUUGUUGGUUUGCACAUUUAGAGAAUGAUUAACAGGGACAGUUGGGGGUAUUCGUAUUUACAUGUCAGAGGUGAAAUUCUUGGAUUUUGGAAAGACGAACUACUGCGAAAGCAUUUACCAAGGAUGUUUUCAUUAA